AUUGAACGCUGGCGGCAGGCCUAACACAUGCAAGUCGAGCGGAUGGAGGGAGCUUGCUCCUGGAUUCAGCGGCGGACGGGUGAGUAAUGCCUAGGAAUCUGCCUGGUAGUGGGGGAUAACGUCCGGAAACGGGCGCUAAUACCGCAUACGUCCUGAGGGAGAAGGUGGGGGAUCUUCGGACCUCACGCUAGCAGAGGAGCCUAGGUCGGAUUAGCUAGUUGGUGGGGUAAAGGCCUACCAAGGCGACGAUCCGUAACUGGUCUGAGAGGAUGAUCAGUCACACUGGAACUGAGACACGGACCAGACUCCUACGGGAGGCAGCAGUGGGGAAUAUUGGACAAUGGGCGAAAGCCUGAUCCAGCCAUGCCGAGUGUGUGAAGAAGGUCUUCGGAGUGUAAAGCACUUUAAGUUGGGAGGAAGGGCAGUAAGUUAAUACCUUGCUGUUUUGACGUUACCAACAGAAUAAGCACCGGCUAACUUCGUG
This 484-nucleotide ribosomal RNA is filed under the name uncultured bacterium. RNAcentral describes it as "partial 16S ribosomal RNA". It matches the Rfam family "Bacterial small subunit ribosomal RNA", at positions 30 to 507 of the family's 1533-position model. The record is from RNAcentral.